RNAcentral lists this long non-coding RNA (358 nucleotides) under Marmota monax (woodchuck). Lineage: Eukaryota; Metazoa; Chordata; Mammalia; Rodentia; Sciuridae. The record is from RNAcentral.
UGCGCGUCUGCAGCCCCGGUCCCUGGGUCCGGGUGGCUCUCUGGGGUUCCUGUGCGUUCCUGGCCCCCCAGUCACCAUCCGCGAGCCUGUGCCCCCCACCCAGGCUCGGGUGCGCUCCCCUGUCACCUCGGCCACGUACAUUUCACUUCCUCCCGGCUGUCGAGAUUGCAGCAAAACCGGGCAGCACGAGGGCCAAAAAGUGGAGAGGAGAGCGCCUUUCGUGUCGCGCAGCCAGCUUGCCAACUCUCCCUCCCCAAAGCCGACCCUCGCAAUCCCAACUGCAACUUUUUCCCUUCCGUCUCGGUUUCCCCUUGGCUGCGGCGAGCGGGCGCGGGGCCGGGAAGCUUGGAGCGGGCGG